This 240-nucleotide long non-coding RNA is filed under the name Lathyrus oleraceus (garden pea). RNAcentral describes it as "Pisum sativum (pea) long non-coding RNA (PSAT_LNC001733)". The record is from RNAcentral. Lineage: Eukaryota; Viridiplantae; Streptophyta; Magnoliopsida; Fabales; Fabaceae.
AAAAUGCACAUAAAUGAAUCAGAAAUUCAUAUUAAAUUCCAAGUGUCAUGAAAUAAUUGGGCAAUGGUACCAAAAAAUAGAGGACUCAUUAGGGAUCACUCACAAAAAAGUUCAGAUUUUUUUAAGUAUUUUUGCUAUUUUUAAAAAAUAAAAUAAAACGGGGAAAAAUAUGUACAUGGCAUGUGACACAUGUGCAACAAUGUCAAUUGGUCACACAAGUCACUUAAGUGACUAAUAAAA